This 52-nucleotide transfer RNA is filed under the name Agelena silvatica. RNAcentral describes it as "tRNA-Ser". Lineage: Eukaryota; Metazoa; Arthropoda; Arachnida; Araneae; Agelenidae. The record is from RNAcentral.
GAAUAGUUUUAUGGAAGCUGCUAACUUCCUAUUAGCUGAUGGCUGCUAUAAG